UACAGAGGUCCCAAGCGUUACUGAGAAUCACUGGGUUUAAAGGGUGCGUAGGUGGUCCGUUAAGUCAGUUGUGAAAUCCCCGGGCUCAACUCGGGAGCUGCUUCUGAUACUGGCGGACUUGAGGCCAGUAGGGGUCACUAGAACUGACGGUGGAGCGGUGAAAUGCGUAGAUAUCGUCAGGAAUGCCGGUGGUGAAGACGGGUGACUGGGCUGGUUCUGACACUGAGGCACGAAAGCGUGGGGAGCGAACGGG
Molecule: ribosomal RNA, 253 nt
Filed under: uncultured bacterium
Lineage: Bacteria
Description: partial 16S ribosomal RNA
Rfam family: Bacterial small subunit ribosomal RNA
Source: RNAcentral